GAUGGACGCUGGCGGCGUGCCUAAUACAUGCAAGUCGAGCGAACAGACGAGGAGCUUGCUCCUUCGACGUUAGCGGCGGACGGGUGAGUAACACGUAGGUAACCUACCUAUAAGACUGGGAUAACUUCGGGAAACCGGAGCUAAUACCGGAUAAUAUUUCGAACCGCAUGGUUCGAUAGUGAAAGAUGGCUUUGCUAUCACUUAUAGAUGGACCUGCGCCGUAUUAGCUAGUUGGUAAGGUAACGGCUUACCAAGGCAACGAUACGUAGCCGACCUGAGAGGGUGAUCGGCCACACUGGAACUGAGACACGGUCCAGACUCCUACGGGAGGCAGCAGUAGGGAAUCUUCCGCAAUGGGCGAAAGCCUGACGGAGCAACGCCGCGUGAGUGAGGAAGGUCUUCGGAUCGUAAAACUCUGUUAUUAGGGAAGAACAAACGUGUAAGUAACUGUGCACGUCUUGACGGUACCUAAUCAGAAAGCCACGGCUAACUACGUG
Molecule: ribosomal RNA, 497 nt
Filed under: uncultured bacterium
Lineage: Bacteria
Description: partial 16S ribosomal RNA
Rfam family: Bacterial small subunit ribosomal RNA
Source: RNAcentral